RNAcentral lists this ribosomal RNA (468 nucleotides) under uncultured bacterium. RNAcentral describes it as "partial 16S ribosomal RNA". It matches the Rfam family "Bacterial small subunit ribosomal RNA", at positions 28 to 507 of the family's 1533-position model. The record is from RNAcentral.
GACGAAUGCUGGCGGCGCGCUUAACACAUGCAAGUCGAACGGAAAGGCCCUGCUUUUGUGGGGUGCUCGAGUGGCGAACGGGAGAGUAACAAGUGAGUAACCUGCCUUUGACUUUGGGAUAACUUCAGGAAACUGGGGCUAAUACCGGAUAGGAUCUCCUGCUGCUCGGUGGGGGUUGGAAAGGUUCGGCGGUGGGGGAUGUACUCGCGACUUAUCGGCUUGUUGGUGUGGUAGCGGCUUACCAAGGCUUUGACGGGUCGCCGGCCUGAUAAGGUAACCGUCCACGUUGGGACUGGGAUACGGCCCGUACUCCUGCGAGAGGCAUCAGUGGGGUAUAUUGCACAAUGGGCGGAGGCCUGAUGCAGUAACGCCGCGUGCGGGAUGACGGCUGUCGGUUUGUAUGCCGCUUUCGCCUGUGACGAAGCGUGGGUGACGGUAAUGGGUAAAGAAGCACCGGCGAACUACGUG